AUUGAACGCUGGCGGCAUGCUUUACACAUGCAAGUCGAACGGUAACAGGGUGCUUGCACCGCUGACGAGUGGCGAACGGGUGAGUAAUGCGUCGGAACGUGCCGAGUAGUGGGGGAUAACGCAGCGAAAGUUGUGCUAAUACCGCAUACGUACUGAGGUAGAAAGUGGGGGACCUUCGGGCCUCACGCUAUUCGAGCGGCCGACGUCUGAUUAGCUAGUAGGUGAGGUAAAGGCUCACCUAGGCGACGAUCAGUAGCGGGUCUGAGAGGAUGAUCCGCCACACGGGGACUGAGACACGGCCCAGACCCCUACGGGAGGCAGCUGUGGGGAAUUUUGGACAAUGGGCGAAAGCCUGAUCCAGCCAUGCCGCGUGUCUGAAGAAGGCCUUCGGGUUGUAAAGGACUUUUGUCAGGGAGGAAAUCCCUAGUGCUAAUAACACUGGGGGAUGACAGUACCUGAAGAAUAAGCACCGGCUAACUACGUGCCAGCCGCCGCCGUAA
Molecule: ribosomal RNA, 500 nt
Filed under: uncultured bacterium
Lineage: Bacteria
Description: partial 16S ribosomal RNA
Rfam family: Bacterial small subunit ribosomal RNA
Source: RNAcentral